Molecule: long non-coding RNA, 1974 nt
Organism: Thamnophis elegans (Western terrestrial garter snake)
Lineage: Eukaryota; Metazoa; Chordata; Lepidosauria; Squamata; Natricidae
Exons: 5
Source: RefSeq, a predicted model, not a curated record
GGGGGGGGGGGAAAGCGGCGGAAGACCAAGCAGAAGAGGCUCGGAAAGGGAUGACGUCACGGUUGGGUGGAUUGAAGUUCGGGCCUUCUGCCGGUGGUUCUUGUUUCGGUCAGUGGGGCAAGUCGUGGUUCCGAUCGAAGCCUCCCAGGGCAGGGCGCCUCCCAGGGCUGAAGCGAUAGAAAGAGUCGACCCAGAAGGGCAGCCGUGUUAGUUUAUUGAAUCAAAAUCUACGAAGAAUUUAAGGAAUUAACUGGAACGCAAGUGUGUGUUCUAGAUUUCUUUGGGUAACGGAACAGUGUUUUCAAGUACAAUCCACAAUCAAGACUGCAAGACACCUAGAUGCUGAUUGGCUGUCAUGGCAAUUUGCUUAUGAUAGAUGGAGAAUGGAGAAGCACAUGCAGGCAAAAUGUAAUACAGAAUGCAUGUGAGCUUAUACAUAUUGAGGAUUCUAUAAGAACAGCAUCUUUCCCUGUACCCAAUAGCUGCCCAGAUUUGGGACACAAGGUCAGAACAUUGCACAGAGAGGGCAAGGAGCUGACACCCAUUAUAUAUUUGCAAUACAGGCUUUCCUAAAUAUUUCUCAGAAAUAUUUUCUAGCAAGAUAAAUACUUGAAAAUCAUAAAUCUAACUGGCGUUGUUCCUCUAAUUGCUAAAUAUUUUUCAUCUGCCACCUUCUUCCCAAGGAUUGAUUCAUUUGGCAUUAAGCUUCAACAAAUGAGAACCUAAAUUCACUUUUGACAAUCGGUGAGUCUGCCUUUUGCAUUGAUAACUGCCUUGCCUUUUCCUCUCCUUAUUAAAUUAUCCAAUUUGCUUUAUGGAUGACAUACAAUUGCAAAUCCCAUUAGCUGUAUUCAGGAAGAAGGUAUCAAUAUCAUGUUUCAUGUAGGCAUCUUUUUCCAUGUGUUUGAAAAAUAUGACAUGAAAGUUUGGUAGAAGCAAAAGUACCCAAGUACCUUAAAAUGAUUAGAAGAUAAACUGAUGGUUGCUAGUAUAAAACAACAAAUGUAUAAAAUCACACAACACAAAAGAGUCCAAACCAAUCCCUUGAACUUAGAAGGCUUCUGAUUUAAUGCUGUCAUUUUUUUUUUGUAUCAAGAAAAUUCUCACAUGCUAUAAAUGCAGAGAUUUUUUUCAAGGGAAAAAUUCAGGGUUCAAAACUAGUUCAAAACUAAGUCUUUCAUGAAGAGUUCUUAAUUCAGAAACUUCUCAGCAUGGUCAUAUGGGUACAGGUCAUUUUUUGUAUCCAAGUCAGCAGAUGGGAUAUAUCCAAGUUAACAAAUGUAACCAGUGAGUAGUUACAAUGCACUGCUAGGCAAAAAUUAAGAACAGCUGACACAUGUUAACUAGUACCUCUUCGCACAUGUAUGCACAUUCAUUUAGCAGCAAUAGCAAUGAAUUGGGAAUCUAAGUACUGUAAAGUACUAAAAUCCAGGAAAUAGAUAUCUAUUUUUAUCUACUCCUGGAAGCAGCUAUCAGUCACUAGAUUAGAUGAACAAAAAAAAAAUUCCAAUAGCUUUCGCAAGACAAAAACAGAAUGAAGCCAUCCUGCUUGAGAACUCCUAUGAUGUGUUGAGUACUUUAGCCCAAAAUGUCCCGGAAGUUUACCAAAUUUCUAUUCUUAGUAAUGUUUCAUAGAUUGUACAGAUUUUUUCAAAAGAGUGAGGUGCAGAAGUUCAAAGCCAAGGACUUUGGAUUUGUUGUAGUUCUAGUAUGCAGAGACUUUUCAACUUAACUCUCUCUCCUCCCAAUUUAGGCAAAUAUUAAUAAUUAACUUUUCUAAAUCUGAGAGGUUUAAACAUGGCCCUUUAAAACAGCAAACUUUAGCAUUCUGGUUCUGAAAUGUCUGUGGCCCAGAACCUGCUGAAAUCUCUCCAUUGUCCAUUUUCUAGUACGUCCUAAAGCAGGGGUCAGCAACCUGCGGCUCUGGAGCCGCAUGUGGCUCUUCCAUCCCUCUGCUGCGGCUCCCUGUUGCUG